This 468-nucleotide ribosomal RNA is filed under the name uncultured bacterium. RNAcentral describes it as "partial 16S ribosomal RNA". It matches the Rfam family "Bacterial small subunit ribosomal RNA", at positions 28 to 507 of the family's 1533-position model. The record is from RNAcentral.
GAUGAACGCUGGCGGCGUGCUUAACACAUGCAAGUCGAACGGACAGACGCUGCGCUUGUGCGGUGCUCGAGUGGCGAAGGGGGGUGAGAAACACGAGUAUAACCCACCUAACUUAGUGGGAAAUCUACGGGAAAGGGGCUAAUACAGGAUAGAACCUGCUGAAGCGCGUGGGGGAACGGAGAGUGUCGGCGGUUCGGGAUGGACUCGCAGGUUAUCCGCUUGUUGGUGAGGUAGGGGUUUCCCAAGUCUUUGACGGGUAGCCCGCCUGAGAGGGGGGCCGGCCACAAGAGGACUGAGAUACGGCCCAGUCUCGUACGGGAGGCAACAGUGGGGAGUAUUGCAGAACGGGCGGAAGCGUGAGGAAGCAACGCCGCGUGCGGGAUGCCGUCCUUCGGGGGAAAAACCGCUUUGGCAUGUGACGAAGCGUGAGUGACGGUACCGGGUAAAGAAGCACCGGCUAACUACGUG